ACCAAAUGAUGUAGAUGUUAACAACUACAGGUCCUUGUAGAAGGCACCAGUCUCCACCAGACCAAAUGAUGUAGAUGUUAACAACUACAGGUCCUUGUAGAAGGCACCAGUCUCCACCAGACCAAAUGAUGUAGAUGUUAACAACUACAGGUCCUUGUAGAAGGCACCAGUCUCCACCAGACCAAAUGAUGUAGAUGUUGACAACUACAGGUCCUUGUAGAAGGCACCAGUCUCCACCAGACCAAAUGAUGUAGAUGUUAACAACUAAAGGUCCUUGUAGAAGGCACCAGUCUCCACCAGACCAAAUGAUGUAGAUGUUAACAACUAAAGGUCCUUGUAGAAGGCACCAGUCUCCGUCAGACCAAAUGAUGUAGAUGUUAACAACUACAGGUCCUUGUAGAAGGCACCAGUCUCCACCAGACCAAAUGAUGUAGAUGUUGACAACUACAGGUCCUUGUAGAAGGCACCAGUCUCCAUCAGACCAAAUGAUGUAGAUGUUAACAACUACAGGUCCUUGUAGAAGGCACCAGUCUCCACCAGACCAAAUGAUGUAGAUGUUGACAACUAC
Molecule: long non-coding RNA, 568 nt
Organism: Mytilus californianus (California mussel)
Lineage: Eukaryota; Metazoa; Mollusca; Bivalvia; Mytilida; Mytilidae
Exons: 3
Source: RefSeq, a predicted model, not a curated record